GGGAUUGCCCCAGUAACGGCGAGUGAAGCGGCAGGAGCUCAAAUUUGAAAUCUGGGGUCCACGACCUCCGAGUUGUAAUUUGGAGAGGCAUCUUCGGGGGGGAGCGCCGGCCCAUGUUCCUUGGAACAGGACGUCGCAGAGGGUGAGAAUCCCGUGCCAGGCCGGCUCCCUCCUCCCGCGUGAAGGGCCUUCGACGAGUCGAGUUGUUUGGGAAUGCAGCUCCAAGCGGGUGGUAAGUUUCAUCUAAAGCUAAAUACCGGCGGGAGACCGAUAGCGCACAAGUAGAGUGAUCGAAAGAUGAAAAGCACUUUGAAAAUAGAGUCAAAAAGUACGUGAAAUUGUUGAAAGGGAAGCGCUUGAGACCAGACUCAGGCCCGGGCAAACACCGCGCCCCCCGGGGCCGUGCAAUUGCCUGGGGCUGGGCCAGCAUCAGUCGGCGUGGCGGGACAAAGGCGCGGGGAAUGUGGCUCCCCUCGGGGAGUGUUAUCAGCCCCGCGCUCAAUGCCGCCGACGUCGACUGAGGACCGCGCCUCGGCUAGGAUGCUGGCUUAAUGGCCUUCAGCGACCCGUCUUGAAACACGGACCAAGGAGUCUAACAUCUAUGCGAGUGUUUGGGCGCCAAACCCUUGCGCGGAAUGAAAGUGAACGGAGGUGGGAACCCCCCAGCGGGGCGCACCAUCGACCGAUCCUGAUGUCU
Molecule: ribosomal RNA, 697 nt
Filed under: Helvella bicolor
Lineage: Eukaryota; Fungi; Ascomycota; Pezizomycetes; Pezizales; Helvellaceae
Description: partial large subunit ribosomal RNA
Rfam family: Eukaryotic large subunit ribosomal RNA
Source: RNAcentral